UCUGUUGUAGUCGAGCCGACGACAAAACGAUCAUCAGUGAGAGAACCGCUGCUUUAACUAUUAAAAAUAAAAAAUGCCACUCGCGUUCCUAAAGGGAAGUCUUUGCCUUUUCCCCUUCACGAGAAAUACCGUUCACGCGCAUUCUCACACGCCGAUUUCACUCCGUUCCACGUCCGCGCUGUAUAUACCCAACUCCAGUCUACAAAACACAUCUAUUUGCAGUGGACGUGAGGAAGGCAUUUUUUGUAAGGCCGCCGACAGUUCCUCUGACAGCACGUGAAACUCGAAAAUUGCCAUCAUUCAACGGCUGGAGCACACUUUGUCUUUACGAGGGAAAGCCGGAGUGGAAUUCCGAAAUCACAUCCGUUGUCAAAAAUAACUCGAAAGUUUGAACGAAUACGCUCGGUAGUAUACCUUGGCCUCUAGGGUCUGAAGCUGCGACAAACGAGGCUGAUGCAUGCCGAAGUUUUCACCGUACGGAAGCCCAGUGUACGUUCCAGGCGGCAGGCUGGACGGCAGAGUGCUCUACAUACGAGUAUUUUUUUAAAAGGAAACUGUUAGCCCUUUUUUAAAUUUUUUUCUUGGCUCAAAAUCGAUUUGAACGCGGCUGAUGGAUGAUGGCCGCAGAAUCAGAGUGGAAAGAAGUCACAACCACAUCAUCGUACAUCGACCGAGCAAAAAGGAGAAGUCAACAGAAAUAAGAGAGCAGCAAAUACGAAUGAAGUAAAAAAAAUAAAAAUAAAAAUAAAAUAAAACAAAAAGAAAAUUGAGGGGAAAGGUGUUGAUGGCUGACGUACCAUAGAGGCUGAUCGAUGAUUGAGCUGCUGAUAAAUGAUUUCGCUGCUGGCGUAACUCGCCUCAACCGGACAAUUUUGAUCCACUGUUUCCAAUGGGUGCGCCGAAAAGCUGUGAUUACUGUAGCCCGAGGAACUUUUGCGAGACGCCUUACUGCUGCUGCACACGUAUACCCAAGCGUUUGGUGUUUAAAUACAUAAGAAGACACGAAAAA
Long non-coding RNA from Daphnia magna, 1009 nucleotides. RefSeq lists it as uncharacterized. The record is from RefSeq and is a predicted model, not a curated record. NCBI's taxonomy places the organism in Eukaryota, Metazoa, Arthropoda, Branchiopoda, Diplostraca, Daphniidae. The transcript is spliced from 2 exons.